AACGGCCGCGGUACCCUAACCGUGCAAAGGUAGCGUAAUCAUUUGUCUAUUAAUUGUAGACCUGUAUGAAAGGCAAAAUGAGGGCCUAACUGUCUCUUAUAAUAAAUCAAUUAAACUGAUCUCCCAGUCCAAAAGCUGGAAUACCCCCAUAAGACCAGAAGACCCUGUGAAGCUUAAACUAAACUAUUAAACCAUAUAAUAGCUACUUUCGGUUGGGGCGACCUUGGAAAAAAAGAAAACUUCCAAACAGUGACCUACAUCACACCCUAAGGCCAACAAGCCUACACUAGACCCAGCACAGCUGACAAAUGAACCAAGUUACUCCAGGGAUAACAGCGCUAUCUUCUUCAAGAGCCCAUAUCAAAAAGAAGGUUUACGACCUCGAUGUUGGAUCAGGACAUCCUAUUGGUGCAGCCCCUAUUA
RNAcentral lists this ribosomal RNA (423 nucleotides) under Liophidium vaillanti. RNAcentral's name for it is "partial 16S ribosomal RNA". It matches the Rfam family "Bacterial large subunit ribosomal RNA", at positions 1926 to 2567 of the family's 2925-position model. Lineage: Eukaryota; Metazoa; Chordata; Lepidosauria; Squamata. The record is from RNAcentral.